UGUAAAUCAUUCCUCUCCUUUUUCCCUCUCUUUCUUUCUUUACCAAAUCCCUACUCCUCAUUUCCCAACUCUCAUAACAUACAAACGUUAUGAGUUUGAGUUUUAAGUUGAGAGUAGAGAUUCUGAAAUAUAUAUCUAACUCUUAUCUCUAGGUCUGAAACACUUAUUUUAUCGACCCUAAACCCGUGGUUGGAUCCGUCACUGUAUAUAAGUUCAUGGAAUUAGCACCACAAAUAUCCAUACUUGUAGUCAUAUUUUGCAGCCUAAAUAUUAUUAUUGUGACAAUAGAAGCAACAUGGUGUGUUGUUAGAAGUGAUGCAAGUGCACAAGCUUUGCAAAGAGGUUUAGAUUAUGCUUGUAGCUAUGGUGCUGAUUGUGCACCUAUUCAAUCUUCUGGCCUUUGUUAUCUCCCAAAUACUAUUCAAAAUCAUGCUUCUUAUGCUUAUAAUAGUUUCUAUCAGAGGAAGAAUGAAGCCCCUGGCUCUUGUCAAUUUUCUGGCACUGCUACUAUUGCCAAAACUGAUCCAACUCCACCUAUUGAAGACGGAGCCUUGGAGCAACGGUAAAGUUGUCUCCAUAUGACCUAUAGGUCACGAGUUCAAGUAGUGAAAUCAGUCAUUAAUGCCUGCAAUAGGGUAGGUUGUCUACAUCACACACCCUUAGGGUACGGCCCUUUCCCGGACCUUGCGCGAACGCGAGAUACAUUGUGCAUCAGGAUACCUUUUAACCAGCUCCACCUAUUAUGAAUAAUGUAAAAACUUACUCAGCAUCCAGUAUUUAUAGCAAACAAAUGAAUGUAUUUAACUAUGGUUAAGUGAUUGUAUUGUCCCUUUAAUUUUUAACCGCUAAAGGUUUAAUUAUUUGAUUUGAUGCAUGUAAACAUUGGGUACGAAUAAAUAUUAUUUAUGUUGUUAUUUUUAGGUAAUUUCAUAGAAUAAAAAUUCUCUUACUAUAUUAUAUAAAAGUUAAAAUCUAUACAAAAUAGCUAGAACAGAGGCAUUAAUGGGCUGAGUUGUGAUUUAUUCUGUAUUUUCUUAGGCUAUGGAUCUUGUGUUUACCCAGCUUCUCCGAGGUAUGUUGUUUUAAUUAAACUUGCUUUAUUAGUCAUUUAUUUUCCAUAUUUCUCUGAGUUAUUUUUAUCAUUCGUGAUUUUCUAUUACCUUUUCUUCUCAGAGUUGUGUUUCAGUUUUAUAUUUCCUUUUAGUACCCAUUAUCUUUGAUUCCAGACUCCACUUAUGAAAAUUUACUGGAUUUCUUAUCUUUUUACUUCUUUUUAGUGUUGAAUUUUUGAACAUACAUUAACAUAUUGGUGUUCAAAAUUUAAAGGGAAAAAGAGGUAUAGAAUACACCGUCAAAUAUGAAGAGAAAAGACAAUAGGAAAAAAAUUGUUUCCUUAAAAAAAAGUGCUUUUUCUUCCACUUUAUCUCCCUAAAUAAUGCUACUUUUCUUUUCUUUUUUUUUAAAAGUAGAACGGCAUGAGCAAACUUUUUUCUUCCUUCCUUUUAUAUAUAUUAGUGCUUUCUUAGUGUGCGUGACUGGGAUUGUAUUGAUGAUGUUCCUGCUGUUCUUGGGUUGUCUUUCUUUUUAAUUUUUGUUUUUUAUUUAUAAUAUAAUUUAAUUAUAUAUACACUAACACUGUAAAAAUAAAUGUAAUUUAACUUGUUAUAACAUUAUAUAAUUCUUGCCUGACUUUUCAGGUUGCUAGUCCAACUUAUUACGAAUGGUUUACCUGUAUAUAACAUAUUUUAGGUGAUCUGAAAGUUUAAACGAAAAUUUCGUUUAAACUAUUAGCUAGUAUAAAAGAAGUUAAAAUAUUCACAAUAUUACCGUUAUUUAAACUUGAGUUUUAAUUUAUAUGGAUGUGAUUGUCAAUAUAGCCUUGUCAAAUACGUUAGCCAUCACAUUAAUUUGCCAUCUCUCUUCUAGGGCUGCUGGUGGGCUGAUUCCUCCCGAGGCGGGAGGACGCAACAAUACAAGUGGAGGAAUCUCGAUCAUCCCAGUUUUGUAUCCGCCACCACCAACAAAUAUAAACGCCGUGUACGGUAAUGGAUCGGACAUUCCCAACUCUCAAGAUUCUAAAGCCACUUCUCCCAAGUUUUGGACAAUGGCAAGCUUAGUUCCACCAUAUUUGAUGCUUCUCUUCCUUCAUAUUUUUCAACAUUUGUAGGCAUUCUUGGUCCUAGAAUGAGGACUUAACUUAGUGCAGUUUUGUAACAAAUUGAAAGCUUUAUUUUGGGAUUUUAAAGACUAGUGUUAUCAAAAUUAGCUUAAAGCAAUGAAACAAUGUAAAACAAGGAAUUAAUUAUCAUUUCAUGAGUGAAACCAUGCGCUUCAAAGAAGUGUACGUUUCAAACAA
Non-coding RNA from Nicotiana tabacum (common tobacco), 2356 nucleotides. The record is from RefSeq and is a predicted model, not a curated record. Lineage: Eukaryota; Viridiplantae; Streptophyta; Magnoliopsida; Solanales; Solanaceae.